UCAGGCAUGGAAGUAACGUUUGAGUCAAAUACAUUUAACUUAGAGACUUCACGUAUUGGUAAUCCUGUCUUCCGAGUAACAUUGGAAGCUAAUUGCAAUGGUCAUAGAACAAUUGUGAGCUUUUCUUUAACUUAAAUGUUUUCUAGACUACAUACAACAUUGUCAUAUCUAUCGUUAUCGCUUAAUUCUAAGUUCUACCAUUCAUAGAUUUGUUAAUUUACUUUGUAGUAUGUACGUAGGAUAUUCGCUAGAGUGUAUCUACCAUUGUUUGUCCAGAAUGUUCAAAUCCAUGUUUAUUCACAUCGUAAUUGGUCGUGCGUACAAAUCUAAGAACAAAUGGAUCUGUGCGAUGAUUUCUGUAGUUUGGGCAGACUAUGUUAACGAGAAAUGACUUUGAAUGGGUAACACAUGUGCCUUUGAACCUAUAAACGAUGAAGUCCCCAUGUUCAUGGUGUACAAAGUAUGCCGCGAUGAUGGAAGUUGGACCCUUAUAUGAAUUUUACACUUUCAUUUGUAGCUUUCGUGUUUACUUAUUAUCGAACAUUUAUUUUCCUCUUUGUGUAUAAACAUUUUAUAACUAAAUCUAUUGGAAUUCGACUUUCUAAUUUGCCUAUUUUAUUUUUACUUCAAGUUUGCACUAAAUUCGUGGUUUUUGAUUCACUUUAAUAAAAUCAGUACAGAAUUGGUUUGUGCGUAUAUGUAACGUACAUAAUGAAAUCCUACAUUUCAAGUUCGUAGCUCGAAUGUAUCAUCAUUGUUCGAAAGCUGGCAUCCAUGUUGCUAAAAUUAUUCUCGGUAUGUAAAUAGUUUAAAUGCUUCUAGAACAUUCUUUAUUAUAAAUUUUAAUUCUUGCUUAAUGUCUUCGGAGCAACCUAAACAAUAUAUUCUGGGUCUAUAUGAAGAAUAUUUUACCCUAACUCAAAUUUUUUAGGUUUCCUUUCGCGUUUGUACAUUUAACUUUCAAGACUAUAUCUUCGUGCACCUAAAGAGGAAAAAGCAAUGAUGUGAGAAUGGAAUGUGGAUCAAAGGUCUAAAGAUAUGUUUUGGCGUCACCCAGAUACUGCUGUUGAAAUUUCAUUUUCACCAUAAAAAAUGGGACAUUGUUUAGCUAAGAUUGUACUAGCGACAAAGCUUGCUACGAAACCUCGAGAGACCACAAUCAAGACACUUUCAUAUCUUCAAGGAUGGUGUGUUUCAUUCUUACAUGUACUUUGCAACAAAGAAACAUAUAGUGCUGAAGACAUCGACAAAAUUACUGAAGAAAACUUUGAAACUAUUUCUACAAAUUCUCCUGUCUCCUUGGAUGUGAUGAUAGUAGCUAAAUAUUUUACGUUGUACCAUAUGAUUUUCUAUUUAUUUUAAACAUAUUGGUGUUUCAAUGGCAUUUGAAUAUGUAACUUAUUAUCCUUUUAUUUUCUAUUUAAUAGAAAUUGGA
Olea europaea var. sylvestris is the source of this 1435-nucleotide long non-coding RNA. RefSeq lists it as uncharacterized. The transcript has 4 exons. The record is from RefSeq and is a predicted model, not a curated record. NCBI's taxonomy places the organism in Eukaryota, Viridiplantae, Streptophyta, Magnoliopsida, Lamiales, Oleaceae.